This 231-nucleotide ribosomal RNA is filed under the name uncultured bacterium. RNAcentral describes it as "partial 16S ribosomal RNA". It matches the Rfam family "Bacterial small subunit ribosomal RNA", at positions 15 to 244 of the family's 1533-position model. The record is from RNAcentral.
GAUCCUGGCUCAGGAUGAACGCUAGCGACAGGCUUAACACAUGCAAGUCGAGGGGCAUCAUGAGGUAGCAAUACCUUGAUGGCGACCGGCGCACGGGUGAGUAACGCGUAUGCAACCUGCCUGAUACCGGGUAUAGCCCAUGGAAACGUGGAUUAACACCCAUAGUACUUUAUCCUGCAUGGGAUGUGAGUUAAAUGUUCAAGGUAUCGGAUGGGCAGUGCGUCCUAUUAG